This is a long non-coding RNA of Aphis gossypii (cotton aphid), 796 nucleotides long. RefSeq lists it as uncharacterized. The transcript is spliced from 6 exons. Lineage: Eukaryota; Metazoa; Arthropoda; Insecta; Hemiptera; Aphididae. The record is from RefSeq and is a predicted model, not a curated record.
UGGAUACCAAGAAGAUAUUACCUCAAAUUUUAUAUGUUAAUAUUAUUAAAUUGAAAAAUUAAAAAUGCCUAUAGCUUAUCAAUAUUAUGACUAAAACCUUGUAGCAGAGUAUUCAAUUUACACAUUUGAAGCAAUUGCCAUGAAUCAGAAUAGAAUGGAUACCAAGAAGAUAUUACCUCAAAUUUUAUAUGUUAAUAUUAUUAAAUUGAAAAAUUAAAAAUGCCUAUAGCUUAUCAAUAUUAUGACUGAAACCUUGUAGCAGAGUAUUCAAUUUACACAUUUGAAGCAAUUGCCAUGAAUCAGAAUAGAAUGGAUACCAAGAAGAUAUUACCUCAAAUUUUAUAUGUUAAUAUUAUUAAAUUGAAAAAUUAAAAAUGCCUAUAGCUUAUCAAUAUUAUGACUGAAACCUUGUAGCAGAGUAUUCAAUUUACACAUUUGAAGCAAUUGCCAUGAAUCAGAAUAGAAUGGAUACCAAGAAGAUAUUACCUCAAAUUUUAUAUGUUAAUAUUAUUAAAUUGAAAAAUUAAAAAUGCCUAUAGCUUAUCAAUAUUAUGACUGAAACCUUGUAGCAGAGUAUUCAAUUUACACAUUUGAAGCAAUUGCCAUGAAUCAGAAUAGAAUGGAUACCAAGAAGAUAUUACCUCAAAUUUUAUAUGUUAAUAUUAUUAAAUUGAAAAAUUAAAAAUGCCUAUAGCUUAUCAAUAUUAUGACUGAAACCUUGUAGCAGAGUAUUCAAUUUACACAUUUGAAGCAAUUGCCAUGAAUCAGAAUAGAAUGGAUACCAAGAAGAUAUUAC